AUCGAGCGCGUCUGAUUUGAUGCUUGCAUUAAUGAAAGAUGAGCGGCGGACGGGUGAGUAACGCGUGGGUAACCUGCCCUAUACACAUGGAUAACAUACUGAAAAGUUUACUAAUACAUGAUAAUAUAUAUUUACGGCAUCGUAGAUAUAUCAAAGUGUUAGCGGUAUAGGAUGGACCCGCGUCUGAUUAGCUAGUUGGUGAGAUAACUGCCCACCAAGGCGACGAUCAGUAGCCGACCUGAGAGGGUGAUCGGCCACAUUGGAACUGAGACACGGUCCAAACUCCUACGGGAGGCAGCAGUGGGGAAUAUUGCACAAUGGGCGCAAGCCUGAUGCAGCAACGCCGCGUGAACGAUGAAGGUCUUCGGAUCGUAAAGUUCUGUUGCAGGGGAAGAUAAUGACGGUACCCUGUGAGGAAGCCCCGGCUAACUACGUGCCAGCAGCCGCGGUAAUACGUAGGGGGCUAGCGUUAUCCGGAUUUACUGGGCGUAAAGGGUGCGUAGGUGGUCUUUCAAGUCGGUGGUUAAAGGCUACGGCUCAACCGUAGUUAGCCUCCGAAACUGGAAGACUUGAGUGCAGGAGAGGAAAGUGGAAUUCCCAGUGUAGCGGUGAAAUGCGUAGAUAUUGGGAGGAACACCAGUAGCGAAGGCGGCUUUCUGGACUGCAACUGACACUGAGGCACGAAAGCGUGGGUAGCAAACAGGAUUAGAUACCCUGGUAGUCCACGCUGUAAACGAUGAGUACUAAGGUGUCGGGGGUUACCCCCCUCGGGUGCCGCAGCUACGCAUUAAGUACUCCCCUGGGAUA
This 807-nucleotide ribosomal RNA is filed under the name uncultured Clostridia bacterium. Its description in RNAcentral is "bacterial SSU rRNA". It matches the Rfam family "Bacterial small subunit ribosomal RNA", at positions 61 to 880 of the family's 1533-position model. Lineage: Bacteria; Bacillati; Bacillota; Clostridia. The record is from RNAcentral.